Molecule: long non-coding RNA, 562 nt
Organism: Nannospalax galili (Upper Galilee mountains blind mole rat)
Lineage: Eukaryota; Metazoa; Chordata; Mammalia; Rodentia; Spalacidae
Exons: 2
Source: RefSeq, a predicted model, not a curated record
GGAACUCUUCAUGUGAGUUCAAAAAUUAACAAACAGGCACAUGAGGCAGGCAGACCUACGCCGCCCCACUGUAAUAGCUGGUCGUUGUCUGUGGGCGGAUGCACCAAAGGUUGAAGAUGAACUGCAAAGCUGGGUGGCUGGGGGUGAGGAGCUCUCGUCAGUACAAUUCCCAGCGCCUGCUGUAGGAGGCCAAAGAAGAAACGGAUGGCUGCAGGGUUUCCUGCUGACUUGGAACUUGCCAAGAAAAUGAGGCUGACCGACCAGUGAGUUCAGGGAUUUACCUGUCUCUGUGCCCCAGCACUGGGAUUACAAGUGUGGGUUCUGAGGGUGGAACUCAAGUCCUCAUGCUUAUAAAAGAAGCACUUUACUGACCGAGCCACCUACUGGUGGGCCUUUGAAGUUUAUAGCGUGGCUCCUGUUUAUGGUCUCAGACUCUUACUGUAUGCCGUGAUGUUCAUCCUCACCACAGAGUUCUGCUGCCAUGGAUUGCUCUACUGCUGUUCCUUCCCAGCCAUUACAGACUGAAAUUCUCAUGAGCCAAAAUAAACUUUCUCUCCCUUGA